UACGGGGGGGGCAAGCGUUGUUCGGAAUUACUGGGCGUAAAGGGCUCGUAGGCGGCCAACUAAGUCGGACGUGAAAUCCCCAGGCUCAACCUGGGAACUGCGUCUGAUACUGGAUGGCUUGAAUCCGGGAGAGGGAUGCAGAAUUCCAGGUGUAGCGGUGAAAUGCGUAGAUAUCUGGAGGAAUACCGGUGGCGAAGGCGGGUCUCUGGGCCGAUACUGACGCUGAGGAGCGAAAGCGUGGGGAGCGAACAGG
RNAcentral lists this ribosomal RNA (253 nucleotides) under uncultured bacterium. Its description in RNAcentral is "partial 16S ribosomal RNA". It matches the Rfam family "Bacterial small subunit ribosomal RNA", at positions 524 to 776 of the family's 1533-position model. The record is from RNAcentral.